GACGAACGCUGGCGGCGUGCUUAACACAUGCAAGUCGAACGCUGAAGCUUGGUGCUUGCCCUGGGUGGAUGAGUGGCGAACGGGUGAGUAAUACGUGAGUAACCUGCCCUUGACUCUGGGAUAAGCCUGGGAAACUGGGUCUAAUACUGGAUACGACAUGCCACUGCAUGGUGGUGUGUGGAAAGGGUUUUACUGGUUUUGGAUGGGCUCACGGCCUAUCAGCUUGUUGGUGGGGUAAUGGCCUACCAAGGCGACGACGGGUAGCCGGCCUGGGAGGGUGACCGGCCACACUGGGACUGAGACACGGCCCAGACUCCUACGGGAGGCAGCAGUGGGGAAUAUUGCACAAUGGGCGGAAGCCUGAUGCAGCGACGCCGCGUGAGGGAUGACGGCCUUCGGGUUGUAAACCUCUUUCAGCACGGAAGAAGCGAGAGUGACGGUACGUGCAGAAGAAGCGCCGGCUAACUACGUG
This 472-nucleotide ribosomal RNA is filed under the name uncultured bacterium. RNAcentral describes it as "partial 16S ribosomal RNA". It matches the Rfam family "Bacterial small subunit ribosomal RNA", at positions 28 to 507 of the family's 1533-position model. The record is from RNAcentral.